RNAcentral lists this transfer RNA (73 nucleotides) under Propionibacteriaceae bacterium. Its description in RNAcentral is "tRNA-Lys". It matches the Rfam family "tRNA". Rfam says of the family: Transfer RNA (tRNA) molecules are approximately 80 nucleotides in length. Their secondary structure includes four short double-helical elements and three loops (D, anti-codon, and T loops). Lineage: Bacteria; Bacillati; Actinomycetota; Actinomycetes; Propionibacteriales; Propionibacteriaceae. The record is from RNAcentral.
GCACCACUAGCUCAACUGGCAGAGCAGUUGACUCUUAAUCAACGGGUUCAGGGUUCGAGUCCCUGGUGGUGUA